Molecule: transfer RNA, 28 nt
Filed under: Dichaea richii
Lineage: Eukaryota; Viridiplantae; Streptophyta; Magnoliopsida; Asparagales; Orchidaceae
Description: partial tRNA-Leu
Source: RNAcentral
AAAUCCGUCGAAUUUUGAAAUCGUGAGG